GACGAACGCUGGCGGCGUGCUUAACACAUGCAAGUCGAGCGGUAUGGCCCUUUCGGGGGUACACGAGCGGCGAACGGGUGAGUAACACGUGGGUGACCUGCCCUUAGCUCUGGGAUAAGCCUGGGAAACUGGGUCUAAUACCGGAUAUGACUCCAUGACGCAUGUUGUGGGGUGGAAAGCCUUGUGCGGCUAGGGAUGGGCCUGCGGCCUAUCAGCUUGUUGGUGGGGUGANGGCCUACCAAGGCGACGACGGGUAGCCGGCCUGAGAGGGCGACCGGCCACACUGGGACUGAGACACGGCCCAGACUCCUACGGGAGGCAGCAGUGGGGAAUCUUGCGCAAUGGGCGAAAGCCUGACGCAGCGACGCCGCGUGGGGAUGACGGCCU
This 387-nucleotide ribosomal RNA is filed under the name uncultured bacterium. RNAcentral's name for it is "bacterial SSU rRNA". It matches the Rfam family "Bacterial small subunit ribosomal RNA", at positions 28 to 417 of the family's 1533-position model. The record is from RNAcentral.